UGAUGGAGAGUUUGAUCCUGGCUCAGGACGAACGCUGGCGGCGUGCUUAACACAUGCAAGUCGAGCGGGGAGCUUCGGCUCUCAGCGGCGAACGGGUGAGUAACACGUGGGCAACCUGCCCCGAGCUCUGGAAUAACCUCGGGAAACCGGGGCUAAUGCCGGAUAUGACAUUGCCGGGCAUCUGGUGGUGUGGAAAGAUUUAUCGGCUCGGGAUGGGCCCGCGGCCUAUCAGCUUGUUGGUGGGGUGAUGGCCUACCAAGGCGACGACGGGUA
Molecule: ribosomal RNA, 273 nt
Filed under: Frankia sp. CgS1
Lineage: Bacteria; Bacillati; Actinomycetota; Actinomycetes; Frankiales; Frankiaceae
Description: Frankia sp. CgIS1 partial 16S ribosomal RNA
Rfam family: Bacterial small subunit ribosomal RNA
Source: RNAcentral